UUUCCAUAGUGGUGGCAUGGCAAUUGGAUUUUUUGUCAUGGUCCAUAGGAACAGACCAUAGUGCACCUUACACUGGUUCGUAUCAAUUUCCCAAAAUCUGUAUAUCCCUCGAAGAAAAAUAAAUCCCUCUCAUUCAGACUGAAAAAACAAAAAAGGUUCCAACUUUGAGAGAAAGAGGCGUCAAAUUUCUGAAUUGUUUUUUUCUUCAAGAGCUCAGUUCUCUCUUAGUCUCUCUGAAUUCAGCUUAAACCCUUUAAAAACAAUGUUACCAAGCUCAUCAAGUUACAGUAAUGGGUAUUUAGGAAACGGUAGUUCAUCAGAGAAACGAUUGAAUACGAGUACAAAAGAUCGAUUUAAAAGAGGAGGAGGUGGUGGAAUUAGGGUUCCUUCUAAUAAAGAAACACCACCACCACCAUGUACAGAGUUCGAUAAAGCUUAUUUUCAAUCAUAUUCUCAUGUUGGUAUCCAUGAAGAAAUGAUCAAGGACCGUGUUCGUACUGAUACUUAUAAAGCUGCUAUCGAGCAGCAUCAUGCUUCUAUAGAAGGCAAGGUUGUAGUGGAUGUUGGCUGUGGAACUGGCAUCCUUUCUAUAUUUUGUGCUCUUGCUGGUGCAAAGCGGGUUUAUGCAAUUGAUGCAAGUGAGAUUGCUAUACAGGCAAAUGAAGUUGUCAAAGCUAAUAAGUUAUCUCACAAGGUCAUUGUUUUACAUGGAAGAGUGGAGGAUGUCGAAAUCCCGGAGGGGGUUGAUGUUAUCAUUUCGGAAUGGAUGGGAUACAUGCUCUUAUACGAGAGUAUGCUGGGUAGUGUAAUUACUGCCAGAGAUCGUUGGCUUAAACCUGGAGGGCUUAUUCUCCCAUCACAUGCCACGUUGUACAUGGCACCUGUCACACAUUGUGACAGAUACAGUGAAAGUAUUGAUUUCUGGAAGAAUGUUUAUGGAAUUGACAUGUCUGCUAUGCUGCCGCUGGCGAAACAGUGUGCAUUUGAGGAACCAAGUAUAGAGACAAUAACUGGCGAAAAUGUAUUAACAUGGCCAUUCGUGAUAAAGCAUGUGGACUGCUACACUGUCACAAUCCGGGAGCUUGAAUCUAUCACUGCAAGAUAUAGAUUUACAUCUAUGAUGCAAGCCCUGUUUCAUGGGUUUGCGUUUUGGUUUGAUGUUGAGUUCAGCGGACCUGCUAUUUUUCCGAGCAAUAACCAAACACAGUCACUUGUAGGCAGUACUGCAUCAUCUGACAUUCCUUCUCCAGGUUCUAGUCAGAGGAAAAAACGGGCAAAAUGUGAUGAGGUGCUAGUUCUAUCUACUGCUCCAGAGGAGCCUCCAACACAUUGGCAACAGACUUUGUUAUAUUUUUACGAACCGAUAGAUGUGAAGCAAGAUCAAGUCAUUGAAGGCUCUGUAACAAUGUCACAAAGCAAGGAAAACGCCCGAUUCUUGAAUCUCCACCUUGAAUACUCUUCAGGAGGUAGGUCGUUUGUCAAAGAAUCUGUACUGCGAUAGUAAUGUUCUGCUUGCGAACACAGGAUGGCCAUAAGCAAACCAAGUAUUAGCUUCAGCAAAAUGCAGGACCUUCACUUAUCUGAGCACAGAUAACACAGGGACAAUUCCUUCAGCAAGAAGGAAAAAAUGAGACUAAACUAGUAGGUAUUAUUGUACACUUUCUGCUGCUAAAGUACAAAAGAAAGCUUUAUAUACAUUAGAAUAUUGUGUUUUCAUGGUUUCUCCAUUCCCCAUUGUCUUAAGCUAUUCCCUAAAAUAUGCCUUCAAUAGAGCCAAAUUAAAUA
RNA transcript from Papaver somniferum (opium poppy), 1785 nucleotides. It is a transcript of the gene named probable protein arginine N-methyltransferase 6, with no coding region annotated. The record is from RefSeq and is a predicted model, not a curated record. The transcript is spliced from 14 exons. Lineage: Eukaryota; Viridiplantae; Streptophyta; Magnoliopsida; Ranunculales; Papaveraceae.